RNAcentral lists this ribosomal RNA (254 nucleotides) under uncultured bacterium. RNAcentral describes it as "partial 16S ribosomal RNA". It matches the Rfam family "Bacterial small subunit ribosomal RNA", at positions 524 to 776 of the family's 1533-position model. The record is from RNAcentral.
UACGUAGGGGGCAAGCGUUAUCCGGAUUUACUGGGUGUAAAGGGGGUGCAGACGGCGAUGCAAGCCAGGAGUGAAAGCCCGGGGCCCAACCCCGCGGAUUGCUUUUGGAACUAUCAGGCUGGAGUGCUGGAGGGGUAAGCGGAAUUCCUAGUGUAGCGGUGAAAUGCGUAGAUAUUAGGAGGAACACCGGUGGCGAAGGCGGCUUACUGGACAGAAACUGACACUGAGGCUCGAAAGCGUGGGGAGCAAACAGG